This 1206-nucleotide ribosomal RNA is filed under the name Bacillus sp. (in: firmicutes). Its description in RNAcentral is "bacterial SSU rRNA". It matches the Rfam family "Bacterial small subunit ribosomal RNA", at positions 125 to 1317 of the family's 1533-position model. The record is from RNAcentral. Lineage: Bacteria; Bacillati; Bacillota; Bacilli; Caryophanales; Bacillaceae.
CCUACCUAUAAGACUGGGAUAACUUCGGGAAACCGGAGCUAAUACCGGAUGACAUAAAGGAACUCCUGUUCCUUUAUUGAAAGAUGGCUUCGGCUAUCACUUAUAGAUGGGCCCGCGGCGCAUUAGCUAGUUGGUGAGGUAACGGCUCACCAAGGCGACGAUGCGUAGCCGACCUGAGAGGGUGAUCGGCCACACUGGGACUGAGACACGGCCCAGACUCCUACGGGAGGCAGCAGUAGGGAAUCUUCCGCAAUGGACGAAAGUCUGACGGAGCAACGCCGCGUGAGCGAUGAAGGCCUUCGGGUCGUAAAGCUCUGUUGUUAGGGAAGAACAAGUGCUAGUUGAAUAAGCUGGCACCUUGACGGUACCUAACCAGAAAGCCACGGCUAACUACGUGCCAGCAGCCGCGGUAAUACGUAGGUGGCAAGCGUUGUCCGGAAUUAUUGGGCGUAAAGCGCGCGCAGGCGGUUUCUUAAGUCUGAUGUGAAAGCCCCCGGCUCAACCGGGGAGGGUCAUUGGAAACUGGGAAACUUGAGUGCAGAAGAGGAAAGUGGAAUUCCAAGUGUAGCGGUGAAAUGCGUAGAGAUUUGGAGGAACACCAGUGGCGAAGGCGACUUUCUGGUCUGUAACUGACGCUGAGGCGCGAAAGCGUGGGGAGCAAACAGGAUUAGAUACCCUGGUAGUCCACGCUGUAAACGAUGAGUGCUAAGUGUUAGAGGGUUUCCGCCCUUUAGUGCUGAAGUUAACGCAUUAAGCACUCCGCCUGGGGAGUACGGUCGCAAGACUGAAACUCAAAGGAAUUGACGGGGGCCCGCACAAGUGGUGGAGCAUGUGGUUUAAUUMGAAGCAACGCGAAGAACCUUACCAGGUCUUGACAUCCUCUGACAACCCUAGAGAUAGGGCUUUCCCUUCGGGGACAGAGUGACAGGUGGUGCAUGGUUGUCGUCAGCUCGUGUCGUGAGAUGUUGGGUUAAGUCCCGCAACGAGCGCAACCCUUGAUCUUAGUUGCCAGCAUUCAGUUGGGCACUCUAAGGUGACUGCCGGUGACAAACCGGAGGAAGGUGGGGAUGACGUCAAAUCAUCAUGCCCCUUAUGACCUGGGCUACACACGUGCUACAAUGGAUAGUACAAAGGGUUGCAAGACCGCGAGGUGGAGCUAAUCCCAUAAAACUAUUCUCAGUUCGGAUUGUAGGCUGCAACUCGCCU